AUUGAACGCUGGCGGCAUGCCUUACACAUGCAAGUCGAACGGCAGCACGGGUGCUUGCACCUGGUGGCGAGUGGCGAACGGGUGAGUAAUACAUCGGAACAUGUCCUGUAGUGGGGGAUAGCCCGGCGAAAGCCGGAUUAAUACCGCAUACGAUCUACGGAUGAAAGCGGGGGACCUUCGGGCCUCGCGCUAUAGGGUUGGCCGAUGGCUGAUUAGCUAGUUGGUGGGGUAAAGACCUACCAAGGCGACGAUCAGUAGCUGGUCUGAGAGGACGACCAGCCACACUGGGACUGAGACACGGCCCAGACUCCUACGGGAGGCAGCAGUGGGGAAUUUUGGACAAUGGGCGAAAGCCUGAUCCAGCAAUGCCGCGUGUGUGAAGAAGGCCUUCGGGUUGUAAAGCACUUUUGUCCGGAAAGAAAUCCUUGGCCCUAAUACGGUCGGGGGAUGACGGUACCGGAAGAAUAAGCACCGGCUAACUACGUG
This 486-nucleotide ribosomal RNA is filed under the name uncultured bacterium. Its description in RNAcentral is "partial 16S ribosomal RNA". It matches the Rfam family "Bacterial small subunit ribosomal RNA", at positions 30 to 507 of the family's 1533-position model. The record is from RNAcentral.